CAUAUAUAUUUAUGUAUGGUCGUCAUAGGUUGUCUAAACCAAGAGACAUUAUAAGCUGGAAUGAUACGUAAGAAGAAAGCAAAUGUCACAAAUCAUGUGGGUCUUACAAAAGUAAAUUCCAUUUCUAACUGAAAACCGUUGUUUAAAUACGUUGACCAGGUCAAAGAUGUUAUUUGACCAACUGUCGCUUCUUUGCGUCCACGUCUUAGAGCACCCCCAUUGAGGGUUCAUGGGGGGAGUUCACACAAAAACCAAGAAAAAAAAAUAAUAAAAUAAUUCAAUCUCAUGA
Molecule: long non-coding RNA, 289 nt
Filed under: Brassica napus (rape)
Lineage: Eukaryota; Viridiplantae; Streptophyta; Magnoliopsida; Brassicales; Brassicaceae
Description: long non-coding RNA (BNAP_LNC006406)
Source: RNAcentral